GCAACUGCAGCCUCGGUGAUAGCACCUGGAAAAGGGGCACAUCUUGCCAAGGUGUGCCCAAGGGGCAGGUUGGGUUGCUGUGAUGAUGGGUACACAGGGCCCUGCACACCUGUGGGGACAGAGGUUUCUACUUGUCCUGCCUCCAUCCCAUUUCCCGUAAGGGAGGAAAUUCUCCGUGGAACUCCCCUGCUGGACUGACACUCCUCCACCGCUCGACACAUUCAGAAUCAGGCUUUCCAGUCGGAGCUGCAAAAGGAGACACAAAAAUCACAGCUCAUUCCAAGAGGUGCCUGCAGCCAGCAGCACCCAGCAGCAUUGUCACCACUGCAAGCAGCCACUGACAGCCGACCUGAGAAUGAACAUGAGGGCCAGGGAGGAGGCAGCUCAGCCUGCAGCGUCAGCAGCGCAGUUCGGCAGAGCCUGCUAAUCGUCUUGCUCAAGUUUCAAACUCUGUUUACCAAAUGACCACAGAAGCGUUUUAGCUUCUACUUAAUAAAAAAAUCCAGCUUGUA
RNAcentral lists this long non-coding RNA (512 nucleotides) under Homo sapiens (human). RNAcentral's name for it is "long non-coding RNA NONHSAT174122.1". Lineage: Eukaryota; Metazoa; Chordata; Mammalia; Primates; Hominidae. The record is from RNAcentral.